This 263-nucleotide ribosomal RNA is filed under the name uncultured bacterium. Its description in RNAcentral is "partial 16S ribosomal RNA". It matches the Rfam family "Bacterial small subunit ribosomal RNA", at positions 793 to 1055 of the family's 1533-position model. The record is from RNAcentral.
GUCCACGCUGUAAACGAUGAGCACUCGAUGUGCGAGGUAUCCACUCCUCGCGUGUCACAGCUAACGCAUUAAGUGCUCCGCCUGGGGACUACGGUCGCAAGACUAAAACUCAAAGGAAUUGACGGGGCCCGCACAAGCGGUGGAGGAUGUGGUUUAAUUCGACGCAACGCGAAGAACCUUACCUGGGCUUGACAUCCCGCGACCGCCUCAGAGAUGAGGCUUCUCCUUCGGGAGCGCGGAGACAGGUGCUGCAUGGCUGUCGU